GAGAAGUUAGCUUCGGCUAGCAAGUAAAGUGGCGAACGGGUGAGUAACGCGUAGGUAACCUGCCUUUAGAAUUGGGAUAACUUUGCUAACGCAGGGCUAAUACCAAAUAAUGCGUUUUUUUCACAUGGAAAUAACGUUAAAGAAGGGGAUUCGUAAGAACCUUUUGUCUAUAGAUGGACCUGCGUUCCAUUAGUUUGUUGGUGAGGUAACGGCUCACCAAGGCGAUGAUGGAUAGCCGACCUGAGAGGGUGAUCGGCCACACUGGGACUGAGAUACGGCCCAGACUCCUACGGGAGGCAGCAGUAGGGAAUAUUGCGCAAUGGCCAAAAGGCUGACGCAGCAACGCCGCGUGACUGAUGAAGCUCUAAGGAGUGUAAAAGUCUGUUAGGAGGGAAGAAUAGUUCAGACGUAAAUAAUGUUUGAAUCUGACGGUACCUCCAGAGAAAGCUCCGGCCAACUCCGUGCCAGCAGCCGCGGUAAUACGGGGGGAGCAAGCGUUGUCCGGAAUUACUGGGCGUAAAGGGCGCGUAGGCGGAUUUGUAAGUCAGAAGUGAAAUCUAUCGGCUCAACCGAUAAACUGCUUCUGAAACUGCAAGUCUUGAGUAAGGCAGAGGAAAGUGGAAUUCCUGGUGUAGCGGUGAAAUGUGUAGAUAUCAGGAAGAACACCAGUUGCGAAGGCGGCUUUCUGGGCCUUAACUGACGCUGAGGCGCGAAAGCGUGGGGAGCAAACAGGAUUAGAUACCCUGGU
RNAcentral lists this ribosomal RNA (748 nucleotides) under uncultured bacterium. RNAcentral's name for it is "bacterial SSU rRNA". It matches the Rfam family "Bacterial small subunit ribosomal RNA", at positions 68 to 791 of the family's 1533-position model. The record is from RNAcentral.